GCAACCCGCUGGCGUCCCCUUCCACACCGUGGAAGGUUUGUUCUUUCGCUCUUUUCAAUAAAUCUUGCUACCGCUCACUCUUUGGGUCCAGACUGCCUUUAUGAACUGUAACACUCACCUCCAAGGUCUGCAGCUUCACUCCUGAAGCCAGUGAGACCACGAGCCCACCAGGAGGAACGAACAACUCCAGACGCGCCGCCUUAAGAGCUGUAACACUCACUGCUAAGGUCUACAGCUUCAUUCCUGAGCCAGCGAGACCACGAACCCACCAGAAGGAAGAAACUCUGAACACAUCCAAACAUCAGAAGGAAUAAACUCCGGACAUGCCGCCUUUAAGAACUGUAACACUCACCGUGUUAAGAACUGUAACACUCACCGUGAGGGUCUGCGGCAUCAUUCUUGAAGUCAGUGAGACCAAGAACCCAUCAAUUCCAGACGCAAUAUGAUGCACUUAAUAAGCCUUUCACACCAAUUUGAUACGGUUUGGAUUUGUGUCCCUGCUGGAAUGUAAAGUUGAACUGUAAUCCCGGAUGCUGGAUGAGGGACCUGCUGGGAGGUGAUUGCAUCAUGGGGGCAUAUUUCCCCCUUGCUGUUCUCAUGAUGACACAAAUGAACAGCAGAACUCUUGCUCCCAUGAAUUGGCAAGUAUAGUCAGAAGUCUCCCCACUGUGGAUGGGAGACAGAAAAGAAAGAAAGAGCCUGAAUUACUGAGGGGGUGAGUAAAUAGCCACAUUAGUCCAGGACUCCUAUCUCUCCAAUUAUUAUAUAGGACAAAUAAGUUGGUAUUUCUUCAUGACACUCUUUGCCUAGGUUUUCUGUUAUAUACAGACAAAUUCAUCCUUUAAAAAUAGAGAUAUAACAUGGAUAUAUUGUUCUAAAUGGAACUGGAAAUGUUGUGGAAUACUAUGGCGUUACGAUUUUCAUAUAACUAAUAACAUAAUAGAAUUUAAAAAAUGCCCUCUCCCACAGGUGGUCAUUUAAAAAACUUGUAUUAGUUUUUAGAGGUUCAUUAAAAUGAAUUAUUGGCAA
Long non-coding RNA from Homo sapiens (human), 1029 nucleotides. Lineage: Eukaryota; Metazoa; Chordata; Mammalia; Primates; Hominidae. The record is from Ensembl.